AGAGUUUGAUCCUGGCUCAGGAUGAACGCUGGCGGCGUGCUUAACACAUGCAAGUCGAACGAUGAACCUCACUUGUGGGGGGAUUAGUGGCGAACGGGUGAGUAACACGUGAGUAACCUGCCCUUGACUCUGGGAUAAGCCUGGGAAACCGGGUCUAAUACUGGAUACGACCUUCUGGCGCAUGCCAUGUUGUGGAAAGCUUUUGUGGUUUUGGAUGGACUCGCGGCCUAUCAGCUUGUUGGUGGGGUAAUGGCCUACCAAGGCGACGACGGGUAGCCGGCCUGAGAGGGUGCCGNNCACACUGGGACUGAGACACGGCCCAGACUCCUACGGGAGGCAGCAGUGGGGAAUAUUGCACAAUGGGCGCAAGCCUGAUGCAGCGACGCCGCGUGAAGGAUGAAGGCCUUCGGGUUGUAAACCUCUUUCAGUAGGGAAGAAGCCGGCCUUUGGGUUGGUGACGGUACCUGCAGAAGAAGCGCCGGCUAACUACGUGCCAGCAGCCGCGGUAAUACGUAGGGCGCAAGCGUUAUCCGGAAUUAUUGGGCGUAAAGAGCUCGUAGGCGGUUUGUCGCGUCUGCCGUGAAAGUCCGGGGCUUAACCCCGGAUCUGCGGUGGGUACGGGCAGACUAGAGUGCAGUAGGGGAGACUGGAAUUCCUGGUGUAACGGUGAAAUGCGCAGAUAUCAGGAGGAACACCGAUGGCGAAGGCAGGUCUCUGGGCUGUAACUGACGCUGAGGAGCGAAAGCAUGGGGAGCGAACAGGAUUAGAUACCCUAGUAGUCC
RNAcentral lists this ribosomal RNA (782 nucleotides) under uncultured bacterium. RNAcentral describes it as "bacterial SSU rRNA". It matches the Rfam family "Bacterial small subunit ribosomal RNA", at positions 8 to 796 of the family's 1533-position model. The record is from RNAcentral.